Molecule: transfer RNA, 100 nt
Filed under: Acidobacteriota bacterium
Lineage: Bacteria; Pseudomonadati; Acidobacteriota
Description: tRNA-Sec
Rfam family: Selenocysteine transfer RNA
Source: RNAcentral
GGGAGCGCUCGGGGGCUGGUGCCUCCUGCGGUCUUCAAAACCGUUGUCCCGCGCGGGUUCCCGCGUGGGGGGUGGGUUCGAUUCCCAUGCGCUUCCGCCA